Molecule: unclassified non-coding RNA, 544 nt
Filed under: Hevea brasiliensis (rubber tree)
Lineage: Eukaryota; Viridiplantae; Streptophyta; Magnoliopsida; Malpighiales; Euphorbiaceae
Source: RNAcentral
UCUCUCUCUCUCUCUCUCUUAUCUCAUUUUCUUCGUUCAAUUUGGAUCCACUUUCCUCUUUUGCAUAAUCUGAGUGUUACAUUUGAUUUUGGUCCCUGUCUCUCUUUGUUAUUGUGGCAAUUUGAGCAAUAGAUCUCCUAAUUUUUGGAAUCUAUUUUUUGUUUUAAAUUUUAAUUUUGUAAGUUGGUGUAAUUUUUCAAAGUUUCCUCUUGAUUGCUGUUAUCGAAUUGUGGGUACGCGGAAUUUUCUUUCUGGUGUCAUUUGGUCAUCUGCUAUAAUUUGAAUUGGUGUUAGGUUCUUAGUGCAGGCUUAGUGGCAGCAACACAUGAGUACUAUCUUUUAUUACAUCUAUUUUUGGAGGUCAAGUGAUAUUGCCUAGCAAUAGUCCGCAUUUGAGGAAGUCUGGUAGCUGACCAGUUGUCCUUGAUCUUGGGAAAUGGUGCAGAGGAAGGUUUUUUGCAUUCAAUGGAGUCUAAUGAUUUGAAGAAUACCAUUACACCAAUAAGCACUGUUGCAAUAAUGCCAUCUCUAAUAUUGUUAUGGA